UACGGUUUUGUUAAAGUCAGUGUUUCCUUUGCACUGGCCAAAAUGGCUGCCACAGUUUACCUGUAGUUCACGGGCCCUGCAUCUUUUUUUUACAUGGAUUCUGGGGAUACAUUUGUACUACAUACAAUC
This 129-nucleotide small nucleolar RNA is filed under the name Salmo trutta (river trout). RNAcentral describes it as "Small nucleolar RNA SNORA5 (ENSSTUG00000033131.1)". It matches the Rfam family "Small nucleolar RNA SNORA5". From Rfam's summary of the family: ACA5 is a member of the H/ACA class of snoRNA that guide the sites of modification of uridines to pseudouridines. Lineage: Eukaryota; Metazoa; Chordata; Actinopteri; Salmoniformes; Salmonidae. The record is from Rfam by way of RNAcentral.